RNAcentral lists this unclassified non-coding RNA (411 nucleotides) under Myxacorys californica WJT24-NPBG7. RNAcentral's name for it is "16S-23S ribosomal RNA intergenic spacer". Lineage: Bacteria; Bacillati; Cyanobacteriota; Cyanophyceae; Leptolyngbyales; Leptolyngbyaceae. The record is from RNAcentral.
UUUAGGGAGACCUUACCCCCAUUUCCUCAGACUUUAGGAUCAAUGCCUAGAGCCAGCAGAGGAGUGGUUGGUCAUCUCAAGGUCGGUGAGGGUUGGAUGUAAGGCUUUCAAACUUGUCUAGUUCAUCUUUAAAGAUUAAGACUGCAACAAUGCAACAAUACAAGUGCUUAUUUGAGCGCAAAUUAGCUUGCAAGCCUUUUGAUUGCUGCGCUUAAUGCUAAAUGGAAUGUAUUCAGCAACAGUAUUAGUUGAACUAAGCUGCCUGCUGGGAGACAUUCCAGCGAGAACCAUGAAAACUGCAUAGUGAUAAGCAAUUAAGUCAGGUAGAAGUUCAUCUUUAGUUUGUCUUCGUCUUCAGGAUUGAAGCGACGAGAUGAACCUUCAUAGACACCAAUGUAAAGACAAGUUAGU